This 389-nucleotide long non-coding RNA is filed under the name Brassica napus (rape). Its description in RNAcentral is "long non-coding RNA (BNAP_LNC014397)". The record is from RNAcentral. Lineage: Eukaryota; Viridiplantae; Streptophyta; Magnoliopsida; Brassicales; Brassicaceae.
UCCAAAUUCAGCAUUAGUACACCCUCUCUCAUUAUACUCUAGCUUCUCUAGGCCUAUCUCAACUCUUUUCAUCCCUACACUCAUCAUCAUGCAUUCACACAUGCAAAUCAACCAACUCUCAAGUUCAUUAAGCAUAGCAUCAAGUGAAUUCUUGCAAAUGGUCAAUUGGUCCAAAUCAUUUGGGUAAGGGGAGGCUUUUUAAUCAAGUAAGUCAAGGAGUUCAAGAUACAUGAUCUUUUAAUGUGGUUUACUCUCAAAAUAAGUAGCCUUGACAUUGCACAUAAUAUAUUUAAGAAAUGAACCAACUCAUGCAUACAAUGCUCAAUCUCCAUUGUUCUACCCUUUUCCCAAACGUACAAGUUACACAAUCACUUCCCAAUGUCAAACCC